CUUUAAAUAGGUGUUUUGAUUCUUCCUACAGAAAUUAAAAUGUAUUCAGUGGAACUCACAGUUUAAAAUUCUAUGUUUCUGAUGAACUCUAACAUUCCAAUGUUGCCUUCUCAGCAAACUGAAAGCUGCCUUAUACUGAAUGAGGAAGAGCACAAAUACUCGGCUGAAUGAGCCGAGCCCAGCGAAAGAACGGCACACAGCAGUUGCUGCCCAAGCCUGGGUGCUCCUGGUGGUCCUGCACGAUGGGCUGUGCAGUAGGCUUGUCAAGGAGAGGAUCCUCCCUGGCCUCUCCUUGGGCAGAGGAGAUGUUCAGCAUACUCAUGUCUUUCUAAUUGGAGUUGUUGAAAUGACUCCUUCAACUGCAAGAAUGGGCACAGAAGUUAGGAAGGGCUGUCACUGGUCCUCACCUGCUCCUGGCCACCUGGGGUCAUCGUCCUUCCACAUAACUCCCUCGGAAAACCUCACCUGUGUCAGCUGCGCUUUCAGCAGUGCCUCCUCCCGCAUGGACUGCUCUAACUUCCACUCCGUACGUGCUUUACUGGGGCCGGACAACUGGAUGGCGAAGAGUGAAAAGUUUCAAUCUGGAGAGCCUGGGCCAUUCCACACAGUGCCCCUUAAAAGGGCUAGGGCUAGGCCCAAUAUACAACUCGGUCAGUAAAGAUCAAGGCAUUUCCAAGCCCGUGGUCUGGUUUUUAAAAGAACUCAGUAAAGUUGGAACGGACAGGGAAUGAGAUUGAAUUUAUAGCUGGCUAACAGAGGCCCAGAGAGAUCAGAUAAUAUUGCUAUUGUUAUUACUGUUAUUAUUACCACUGUUUGAACCUUUGUGGAAUGCUUCACCAGGUACCAUGCUAACAAUCCCAUUUAAUCCUCGCAACCACCAUAGGAGACAGUUACUAUGAUUCCCUCUAUUGUGGAGAUGAAAAAACAUGGAGUAUUUGAGGUUAAG
RNAcentral lists this long non-coding RNA (946 nucleotides) under Pan troglodytes (chimpanzee). RNAcentral's name for it is "long non-coding RNA NONPTRT005273". The record is from RNAcentral. Lineage: Eukaryota; Metazoa; Chordata; Mammalia; Primates; Hominidae.